UUAAAUUGAAGAGUUUGAUCAUGGCUCAGAUUGAACGCUGGCGGCAGGCCUAACACAUGCAAGUCGAACGGUAACAGGAAGCAGCUUGCUGCUUCGCUGACGAGUGGCGGACGGGUGAGUAAUGUCUGGGAAACUGCCUGAUGGAGGGGGAUAACUACUGGAAACGGUGGCUAAUACCGCAUAACGUCGCAAGACCAAAGAGGGGGACCUUCGGGCCUCUUGCCAUCAGAUGUGCCCAGAUGGGAUUAGCUAGUUGGUGAGGUAACGGCUCACCAAGGCGACGAUCCCUAGCUGGUCUGAGAGGAUGACCAGCCACACUGGAACUGAGACACGGUCCAGACUCCUACGGGAGGCAGCAGUGGGGAAUAUUGCACAAUGGGCGCAAGCCUGAUGCAGCCAUGCCGCGUGUAUGAAGAAGGCCUUCGGGUUGUAAAGUACUUUCAGCGGGGAGGAAGGUGUUGUGGUUAAUAACCACAGCAAUUGACGUUACCCGCAGAAGAAGCACCGGCUAACUCCGUGCCAGCAGCCGCGGUAAUACGGAGGGUGCAAGCGUUAAUCGGAAUUACUGGGCGUAAAGCGCACGCAGGCGGUCUGUCAAGUCGGAUGUGAAAUCCCCGGGCUCAACCUGGGAACUGCAUUCGAAACUGGCAGGCUUGAGUCUUGUAGAGGGGGGUAGAAUUCCAGGUGUAGCGGUGAAAUGCGUAGAGAUCUGGAGGAAUACCGGUGGCGAAGGCGGCCCCCUGGACAAAGACUGACGCUCAGGUGCGAAAGCGUGGGGAGCAAACAGGAUUAGAUACCCUGGUAGUCCACGCCGUAAACGAUGUCUACUUGGAGGUUGUGCCCUUGAGGCGUGGCUUCCGGAGCUAACGCGUUAAGUAGACCGCCUGGGGAGUACGGCCGCAAGGUUAAAACUCAAAUGAAUUGACGGGGGCCCGCACAAGCGGUGGAGCAUGUGGUUUAAUUCGAUGCAACGCGAAGAACCUUACCUGGUCUUGACAUCCACGGAAGUUUUCAGAGAUGAGAAUGUGCCUUCGGGAACCGUGAGACAGGUGCUGCAUGGCUGUCGUCAGCUCGUGUUGUGAAAUGUUGGGUUAAGUCCCGCAACGAGCGCAACCCUUAUCCUUUGUUGCCAGCGAUUAGGUCGGGAACUCAAAGGAGACUGCCAGUGAUAAACUGGAGGAAGGUGGGGAUGACGUCAAGUCAUCAUGGCCCUUACGACCAGGGCUACACACGUGCUACAAUGGCGCAUACAAAGAGAAGCGACCUCGCGAGAGCAAGCGGACCUCAUAAAGUGCGUCGUAGUCCGGAUUGGAGUCUGCAACUCGACUCCAUGAAGUCGGAAUCGCUAGUAAUCGUGGAUCAGAAUGCCACGGUGAAUACGUUCCCGGGCCUUGUACACACCGCCCGUCACACCAUGGGAGUGGGUUGCAAAAGAAGUAGGUAGCUUAACCUUCGGGAGGGCGCUUACCACUUUGUGAUUCAUGACUGGGGUGAAGUCGUAACAAGGUAACCGUAGGGGAACCUGCGGUUGGAUCACCUCCUUACCUUAAAGAAGC
RNAcentral lists this ribosomal RNA (1556 nucleotides) under Salmonella enterica subsp. enterica serovar Wandsworth str. SA20092095. RNAcentral's name for it is "bacterial SSU rRNA". It matches the Rfam family "Bacterial small subunit ribosomal RNA". The record is from RNAcentral. Lineage: Bacteria; Pseudomonadati; Pseudomonadota; Gammaproteobacteria; Enterobacterales; Enterobacteriaceae.